Molecule: ribosomal RNA, 934 nt
Filed under: Enterococcus faecium
Lineage: Bacteria; Bacillati; Bacillota; Bacilli; Lactobacillales; Enterococcaceae
Description: bacterial SSU rRNA
Rfam family: Bacterial small subunit ribosomal RNA
Source: RNAcentral
GAGUGGCGAACGGGUGAGUAACACGUGGGUAACCUGCCCAUCAGAAGGGGAUAACACUUGGAAACAGGUGCUAAUACCGUAUAACAAUCAAAACCGCAUGGUUUUGAUUUGAAAGGCGCUUUCGGGUGUCGCUGAUGGAUGGACCCGCGGUGCAUUAGCUAGUUGGUGAGGUAACGGCUCACCAAGGCCACGAUGCAUAGCCGACCUGAGAGGGUGAUCGGCCACAUUGGGACUGAGACACGGCCCAAACUCCUACGGGAGGCAGCAGUAGGGAAUCUUCGGCAAUGGACGAAAGUCUGACCGAGCAACGCCGCGUGAGUGAAGAAGGUUUUCGGAUCGUAAAACUCUGUUGUUAGAGAAGAACAAGGAUGAGAGUAACUGUUCAUCCCUUGACGGUAUCUAACCAGAAAGCCACGGCUAACUACGUGCCAGCAGCCGCGGUAAUACGUAGGUGGCAAGCGUUGUCCGGAUUUAUUGGGCGUAAAGCGAGCGCAGGCGGUUUCUUAAGUCUGAUGUGAAAGCCCCCGGCUCAACCGGGGAGGGUCAUUGGAAACUGGGAGACUUGAGUGCAGAAGAGGAGAGUGGAAUUCCAUGUGUAGCGGUGAAAUGCGUAGAUAUAUGGAGGAACACCAGUGGCGAAGGCGGCUCUCUGGUCUGUAACUGACGCUGAGGCUCGAAAGCGUGGGGAGCAAACAGGAUUAGAUACCCUGGUAGUCCACGCCGUAAACGAUGAGUGCUAAGUGUUGGAGGGUUUCCGCCCUUCAGUGCUGCAGCUAACGCAUUAAGCACUCCGCCUGGGGAGUACGACCGCAAGGUUGAAACUCAAAGGAAUUGACGGGGGCCCGCACAAGCGGUGGAGCAUGUGGUUUAAUUCGAAGCAACGCGAAGAACCUUACCAGGUCUUGACAUCCUUUGACCACUCUAGAGAUAGAGC